CUUGGCUAUAGAGUACUAAUUGUGAUGCAAGCAAGUUCUUUUGCCAGUGGCAACCAGCAGAGCUUCCCCAGAAGAUUGGAGGGGAUGAGUCAGGGGCAAGGAAGGAUUAACAGAUUCUGCAUCAAGGCCUGUUGAACCAAGUCCUCUCCCCAAGACAGACACAUACUAGUGAAAUACAUUAGAUUUAAAUCAUCACCUGAGGCAAUCCUGAAAGAGAAAAGCAGUCCUAGAAAAGAGGGAGGAAAAGAGGACAGCCCCAUUCUCUUUGUGACCACGAAGACUGCCGCCAUGUGGAUGGGAGCCACAUGACUCCUUUUAGCACCAGCUGAGAUUCUUCUGCCCUGGAACUAGUUCCUCCGAGUUAUUCCCAGGCCUGGAGAUUUAAUUCCUGCACCUGGAAGUUGCCAGAGCGAAGGAAGCAAAAGCAUCCAUUAUGAGAUUCACCAGAAGGGUAUGACCAGCUUUAGAAGGAGAAUCCUGGACAACAACACACGCAGCUGUGAAGGCCACAAGUGUGACAUCAAAAGCCAAGUGAAAUGGAAGGAAUGUGAAGAUGCUGUCAUAAACAUUUCUACCUCAUAUGACAGCUUUAACAAUACUUUCAAGGUUUUCAUUGAACAAGCCAAGGAAAGGGGAAUUGCAAAAGAAAGGCUUUCAGGAACAGCCACCACCAAGAUUGUUAUUCUGAUAAUGAAAAACUGA
RNAcentral lists this long non-coding RNA (702 nucleotides) under Rhinopithecus bieti (black snub-nosed monkey). RNAcentral's name for it is "lncRNA (ENSRBIG00000046110.1)". The record is from RNAcentral. Lineage: Eukaryota; Metazoa; Chordata; Mammalia; Primates; Cercopithecidae.